UCUGCUGCUCAAUGAUUUUCUCCUUACCAGGCUGUCCAUCUAGAUCAGUGAAUUGUCCUAUACGUGCACUUGAUGCACUAUGAGCUGUUGAUGUAUGAAUUGUCCCAGCACUCUCCGCAUAAGAUGAAGGUACAUCCCUAGGCAGUUUAGGAGACAGAUUGUCCAAAGCAUUACCUCAUCAAUAGGCUUCACUGGUGCUGCUACCUGUGCGACAACUGAUGUAUGACUGAUCAUAGGAGUCUGUGAACUUAGGUGUUGUUUUGCAUUUCCCUUAUCCAUCUUAAGAGCUUGGACAGUAGGAUCACCAUUCUGUUUGUCUAUAUUUACCACAAAG
Molecule: long non-coding RNA, 334 nt
Filed under: Nicotiana benthamiana
Lineage: Eukaryota; Viridiplantae; Streptophyta; Magnoliopsida; Solanales; Solanaceae
Description: long non-coding RNA (NBEN_LNC014321)
Source: RNAcentral